This 81-nucleotide transfer RNA is filed under the name Schizothecium vesticola. Its description in RNAcentral is "tRNA-Gly". The record is from RNAcentral. Lineage: Eukaryota; Fungi; Ascomycota; Sordariomycetes; Sordariales; Schizotheciaceae.
GCGUCAGUGGUUUAGUGGUAAAAUCCAUCGUUGCCAUGAGCAGAUAUCGAUGGGCCCCGCGUUCGAUUCGCGGCUGACGCA